This is a long non-coding RNA of Oncorhynchus keta (chum salmon), 998 nucleotides long. RefSeq lists it as uncharacterized. The transcript has 2 exons. The record is from RefSeq and is a predicted model, not a curated record. NCBI's taxonomy places the organism in Eukaryota, Metazoa, Chordata, Actinopteri, Salmoniformes, Salmonidae.
AACUGAAUUUAAAGGGAAACUCCGUCACUUUUCAACCUUUUCAAUUGUCUUGAACAUUUAAGUUGAGUAGAGUUCAGUAGCGUUAAUGUUAUGUACGCAUUAGAUAUAAUUUCAUUUCCAAAGCUAUUGUUAAAUAAUCUUUGCUAGCCAAGCAAUGUGUUGCUUGCUACAGUGGUUCUUCCUUUAAAUGUUUUGAGUUUAUGCCGCAACCGUUUGGCAACAAUGGCUGACACUUAAAUAAUGUGCAAUUUAAUUCUCUGGCACCCCGCAAGCUGUGCUAUUGUACGUAACCAAACGGUUGGGGCAUAAACUCAAAACUUUUAAAGGAAGAACCACUGUAGCUAGCUAACCUAGCUAGCUUUAGUGAGGGUUGGGUGUCUCUGAUAGAACUGGCUAGCUAGCUGGAUUAUUUCUAGCAAAAUAUAAUCAAAAUGUUCCCUCCUGCAGUAGAUUGUUCUGGUCUGGCACCUCAGCUGCCUAUGGACAGACCCAGUCAACGGUAACUGUCAACUUGCGAGUCGGAAAAUGAAUACUGGAGGUGAAGGAAUCUGCAUUGUUAGUAUACAUGUGCUGCCAUCCUGUUAGAAGAUAACAGAUUAUUUUAUUACAAUGGUUAAAUUGGAUUUUCAUUGUGUUCAAUGGUGUUAUUUGCCCCCUAGUGGCGCUUUCUGGUACUUAGAAAGUCAACGCAAACAGGAAGUACAGAAUUUGUUUUGCACGCAUAGAAGCAGCUACAAACAACGCUACGGUGCAGGUCUUUCAAUGUAGUUAUUUCUUGUCACGCUUCAGCCUUGGAAAAAUAUUUGUUUGUAAGUUCGAUUCAAGCAUUUAGCUAAUGAUGAUAAUCUUGUUAUUGAUAGAGUUUCUUACAUAUCAAUGUUGGUUGCAUUUACUCACAAAUUGCAAUGCCUUUUGUGUAUGUCGUUAGCUGUAUUACUUUGCUCAUGCGUCAUGCAAACGAAUUGUAAAAUAUACAAUACUGUAGUUUUGUUACUGUU